GUUUGGAUUAUGGCUCAGACGUAUGGAACGCUGGCGGAUGCUUCUACACAUGCAAGUCGAACGCAGGCACGGACUUCGGUCUGGUGGCGAGUAUGAACGGGUGAGUAAUGUAUCGGAACGUGCCUAGUAGCGGGGGAUAACUACGCGAAAGCGUAGCUAAUACCGUACUACGGGCCCUUCGGGGGAAAGUGGGACCUUCGGGCCUCGCACUAUUAGAGCGGCCGAUAUCGGAUUAGCUAGUUGGUGGGUAACGGCUCACCAAGGCGACGAUCCGUAGCUGGUUUGAGAGGACGACCAGCCACACUGGACUGAGACACGGCCCAGACUCCUACGGAGGCAGCAGUGAGUUUUUUGGACAAUGGGGAACCCCUGGAUCCAGCCAUCUGCGGGGGUGAUGAAGGCCUUAGGUUGUAAGCACCUUGGCAGGAAGAAACGGUUUACCGGAUAAUACCCCGUGCAACUGACGGUACCUGCAGAAUAAGCACCGGCUAACUACGUGCCAGCACGCGGUAAUACGUAGGGUGCAAGCGCGUUAAUCAAAUUAUUGGCGUGAAGCGUGCGCAGGCGGUUCGGAAAGAAAGAUGUGAAAUCCCAGAGCUUAACUUUGGAACUGCAUUUUUAACUACCGAGCUAGAGUGUGUCAGAGUGGAGGUGAAUCUCAUGUAGCAGUGAAAUGUAGAUAUGCGUGAGGGAACACCGAUGUACGAAGGCACCUCCCGGGAUAACACUGACGCUCAUGCACGAAAGCGUGGGAGCAAACAGGGAUUAGAUACUCUGGUAGUCCACGCCCUAAACGAUGUCAACUAGCUGUUGGGGCCUUCGGGCCUUGGCGGUGCAGCUAACGUGAAGUUGACCGCCUGGGAGAGGUCGGUCGCAAGAUUAAAACUCAAAGGAAUUGACGGGACUCCGCACAAGCGGUGGAUGAUGUGGAUUAAUUCGAUGCAACGCGAAAAACCUUACUCUACCCUUGACAUGUCUGGAAUCCCGAAGAGAUUUGGGAGUGCUCGCAAGAGAACCGGAAACCACAGUGGUGCUGCAUGGUUGCCGUCAGCUCGUGUCGUGAGAUGUUGGGUUAAGUCCCAGCAACGAGCGCAACCCUUGUAUUAAUAGUUGUUAGCGAAAGGGCACUCUAAUGAGACUGCCGGUGACAAACCGAGGAAGGUGGGGGGAUGACGUCAAGUCCUCAUGGCCCUUAUGGGUAGGGCUUCACACGUCAUACAAUGGUCGGGACAGAGGGUCGCCAACCCGCGAGGGGAGCCAAUCCCAGAAACCGAUCGUAGUCCGGAUCGCAGUCUGUGCAACCUGACUGCAGGAAGUCGGAAUCGCCAGCACCGCGGAUCAGCACACUGCGGUGAAUACGUUCCCGGUCUUGUACACACCGCCCGUCACACCAUGGGAGUGGGUUUACCAGAAGUAGUUAGCUCAACCGUGGCGGAGGCGAUUACCACGGUAGGAUUCUAUGAUCGGGGUGAAGUCGUAACAAGGUAA
RNAcentral lists this ribosomal RNA (1488 nucleotides) under uncultured Bordetella sp. Its description in RNAcentral is "partial 16S-23S ribosomal RNA intergenic spacer". It matches the Rfam family "Bacterial small subunit ribosomal RNA". The record is from RNAcentral. Lineage: Bacteria; Pseudomonadati; Pseudomonadota; Betaproteobacteria; Burkholderiales; Alcaligenaceae.